UUUUCUUGUUUAAUGCAUUACAUGUUCAGGCAUGUAAAGUAUAAUUAUUAUUGUAUAAUUGUAUUUAAUUUUGUUGCGAAAUAGAAUUAAUUAUUUAACAUAGUGUGUCGAUGUUUUGCUGACGUCACUUGCGCGCCAGCUCGUGGUGAGAGAUGCAAGCCGCAUUUCGGCUGCUGCCUAAUCUUUUACAUCCUCGCCAUUUCUUCUUUAAAUGAAUGCCUGAACUGUUUUGUUGCAUUAGACUGAUUCAUUGCGUCGUGGUCGUUUUGGAUUCGCGCCAGAAGGGGAGAAACAAGUUGGAUUUCACUACAGAUGGAUUGUGCAAUCAGAGGAUUCGUUCGUAAGGAAGGAAAGGUUUUUCUUCAUUGUUCAUUCCGGCAAGGAUUUUGUAGGCACUCAUACACACACAUUGACUGAACUGAGCUAAAACAUUUCCUACUUCAUUCAGGACUUUGGUAUUCAUCUAAUUUUUUUUUUCAUAGUAUUAUUAUUAUCUGUAUUUUUUUAUCUUCAACUUAUUUGUUGACUGACAGCUUUACUGUUCAGUGACUGAAUUGUGAUCAACUAAAGAUUUUGUUUUGUUUUAGAAAAGGUUUCAAGCAUACUGCAGUGCAGUAUAAUAAGGAAAAGAGAAAGUUAUUGAAUACAAGAAAAGGUGCAAACUGA
Carassius carassius (crucian carp) is the source of this 666-nucleotide long non-coding RNA. RefSeq lists it as uncharacterized. Lineage: Eukaryota; Metazoa; Chordata; Actinopteri; Cypriniformes; Cyprinidae. The record is from RefSeq and is a predicted model, not a curated record. The transcript is spliced from 2 exons.